Molecule: ribosomal RNA, 310 nt
Filed under: Trieres chinensis
Lineage: Eukaryota; Bacillariophyta; Thalassiosirophyceae; Eupodiscales; Parodontellaceae
Description: partial Bacterial large subunit ribosomal RNA
Rfam family: Bacterial large subunit ribosomal RNA
Source: RNAcentral
GAGUCAUCCUUGAAAUACCACCCUUUAAUUGAUUGAUUUCUAACUCCCCCGGGAGGACCGCGUUUGGUGGGUAGUUUGACUGGGGUGGUCGCCUCCAAAAGAGUAACGGAGGCUUCUAAAGGUACCCUCAGUACGGUUGGUAAUCGUACGAAGAGUGUAAUGGCAUAAGGGUGCUUGACUGCAAGACCGACAAGUCGAGCAGGAACGAAAGUUGGGCAUAGUGAUCCGGUGGUUCCUUAUGGAAGGGCCAUCGCUCAUAGGAUAAAAGGUACUCCGGGGAUAACAGGCUGAUGACUUCCAAGAGUUCACA